This 67-nucleotide transfer RNA is filed under the name Onychodactylus zhaoermii. Its description in RNAcentral is "tRNA-Cys". Lineage: Eukaryota; Metazoa; Chordata; Amphibia; Caudata; Hynobiidae. The record is from RNAcentral.
AGUCUUGUGGUGUAUAGCACAUAAAAUUGCAAAUUUUACAGAGCAAUAGAUUUGUUGCCGGGGCUUC